AUUGAACGCUGGCGGCAUGCCUUACACAUGCAAGUCGAACGGCAGCAUGAUCUAGCUUGCUAGAUUGAUGGCGAGUGGCGAACGGGUGAGUAAUACAUCGGAACGUGCCCUGUAGUGGGGGAUAACUAGUCGAAAGAUGAGCUAAUACCGCAUACGACCUGAGGGUGAAAGUGGGGGACCGCAAGGCCUCAUGCUAUAGGAGCGGCCGAUGUCUGAUUAGCUAGUUGGUGAGGUAAAGGCUCACCAAGGCGACGAUCAGUAGCUGGUCUGAGAGGACGAUCAGCCACACUGGGACUGAGACACGGCCCAGACUCCUACGGGAGGCAGCAGUGGGGAAUUUUGGACAAUGGGCGAAAGCCUGAUCCAGCAAUGCCGCGUGUGUGAAGAAGGCCUUCGGGUUGUAAAGCACUUUUGUCCGGAAAGAAAUGGCUCUGGUUAAUACCUGGGGUCGAUGACGGUACCGGAAGAAUAAGGACCGGCUAACUACGUG
This 490-nucleotide ribosomal RNA is filed under the name uncultured bacterium. Its description in RNAcentral is "partial 16S ribosomal RNA". It matches the Rfam family "Bacterial small subunit ribosomal RNA", at positions 30 to 507 of the family's 1533-position model. The record is from RNAcentral.